Molecule: long non-coding RNA, 288 nt
Filed under: Panax ginseng (ginseng)
Lineage: Eukaryota; Viridiplantae; Streptophyta; Magnoliopsida; Apiales; Araliaceae
Description: long non-coding RNA (PGIN_LNC018522)
Source: RNAcentral
UGCGUAUUUCUUUUUGAGUAUAAGGAUACUUUGAGUGUAGCUAAUAGUGACAAGAUUUUCUCAAAAUAAUUUCCUUUAUUCCACUCAGAUCUAGUCUCAUCCUAAGAUAAAUAAUAUUAUUUUAUUUCAAUACUCGUAUGGGAUAUCAUUUUCUUUCAUACUCCAUAUUAUGGUAAAAAAUUACUCCCUCCGUCCCAGGAUAAAAGUCCUUAUUACUAUUUUGGAUUGUCCCAUGUUAAAUGUCCUCUUUCUUUUAAUAACCAAACUUUUACACAUUUUUUCCUAUUA